UAUUUAAUGCCUAUACAUUCCACAUAUUUCUUUCAUCACCACCCCUAAAUCAAAAGAGUGUGUGCAAUUGAUAGUGGUAAAAUAUUUAUCAUCCUCAAUACAUACUUGUGCUUUGAGAAACAUUACUCUUACGAUAUUGAGCAUUCAACCACUACCCAUCCACACACUUCUUAAUUCACCCUCCCUAAUUUGUCUAAGCUCUAAUAUGAUUAUGUGACUUGUUUACACUCCUUAACAUGUGUAGAAAUC
RNAcentral lists this long non-coding RNA (249 nucleotides) under Capsicum annuum. Its description in RNAcentral is "long non-coding RNA (CANN_LNC000646)". The record is from RNAcentral. Lineage: Eukaryota; Viridiplantae; Streptophyta; Magnoliopsida; Solanales; Solanaceae.